GCCUCCCAAAGUGCUGGGAUUACAGGUGUGAGCCACCACGCCCGGCUAUAGUUUAUUUAUACUCGUAGAUUCUAGCAGUCAAGAAUUUGGACAGAGUACAGCAAGGGUGGUUUUAUCUGCAGCCUCAGCUGCAAAGACUGGAAUGGAGGGUGCCGGAAUUAUCUGGAAGAUCUGGGAGCGUCUUCACUCAUACGUCCGGUGUCUGGGCUGGAUGACUCCACGGUUGUGCGCAGCUGGAGGACAGCUGACCCGAGUGCCCACACGUGGCCUCUCUGUGUGACUUGGGCUUCCUCACAGCAUGGUGGUCUCAGGACAGGCAGACUUCCUGCAUGACGUUUGGUUCAGCAAACAAGGCAGAAGGUGAAUCACCUUUUAUGAUCUAGACUCAGAAGUUGACUCUAGCUUGGACAACAAGAGCGAAAC
Molecule: long non-coding RNA, 423 nt
Filed under: Homo sapiens (human)
Lineage: Eukaryota; Metazoa; Chordata; Mammalia; Primates; Hominidae
Description: HSALNT0398696
Source: RNAcentral